UGGGGAAUAUUGGACAAUGGGCGAAAGCCUGAUCCAGCCAUGCCGCAUGAGUGAAGAAGGCCUUUGGGUUGUAAAGCUCUUUUAGUGAGGAAGAUAAUGACGGUACUCACAGAAGAAGUCCUGGCUAACUCCGUGCCAGCAGCCGCGGUAAUACGGAGAGGGCUAGCGUUAUUCGGAAUUAUUGGGCGUAAAGGGCGCGUAGGCUGGUUAAUAAGUUAAAAGUGAAAUCCCGAGGCUUAACCUUGGAAUUGCUUUUAAAACUAGUAAGCUAGAGAUUGAAAGAGGAUAGAGGAAUUCCUGAUGUAGAGGUAAAAUUCGUAAAUAUUAGGAGGAACACCAGUGGCGAAGGCGUCUAUCUGGUUCAAAUCUGACGCUGAAGCGCGAAGGCGUGGGGAGCAAACA
RNAcentral lists this ribosomal RNA (402 nucleotides) under uncultured bacterium. Its description in RNAcentral is "partial 16S ribosomal RNA". It matches the Rfam family "Bacterial small subunit ribosomal RNA", at positions 355 to 774 of the family's 1533-position model. The record is from RNAcentral.